Molecule: long non-coding RNA, 1458 nt
Organism: Ornithorhynchus anatinus (platypus)
Lineage: Eukaryota; Metazoa; Chordata; Mammalia; Monotremata; Ornithorhynchidae
Exons: 3
Source: RefSeq, a predicted model, not a curated record
UUAUCAUUACAACAAAUAUUGGGGUUGUGUCACCUGGUGUGUUUUGUUGUCAAAACAGGUCCCUUAUCCCUAGCAGCUAACCCUCUGGAUCCUGAGUACCAGACAAGGCAGGAGGGAAGAAGGCACGGCUCAGGUUUCAACCACCCCAGGCCACAACCGCUUUUUGGAUCCCACUGACAUUGUCUGAUGAUUCGGCUCAAGAAGACUUCAGUGGAGAGAGGAGUUAGAAGGCGUGUGGAGGUUUUGGAAAGAAUUAGACUGCUACGAGGUGCUUUAAGAAAAGAAGAAGACUGCUGCUCCAGCAGAGUGGAACAAAUUCUUCCCUGAAGUUGCAAACUCCUACACAGUCAGCAGAACAAAUUCCUUUUCCCGCAGCCUUGUGCAAAGACUCAUAGUCAUAUUGCAACAAUUCAUUUGUUUAGUAUUGUGUCAUGCUUUGAAUAACUUUAAUAAAGGUCAUAGAAUAAUUAAGUAAUGUUCAUCCCUGCAGAAGGUGGUAGCAUUUUUCAAACAUGCAUUCAAUACUGUUUACUGUGCUGCUGUUUGGGAAGGGACAUUUUUCCUGCCCUGAAGAAGUUUACACUCUAAUAACCUGUAAAAUAAUUUCUCUUCUGAGGUUCUAGAAUGGUUCUUAAUACAUAACGUUGAAGUUUUUAGGAAAUAGGAACCCAGGAUACACAGCCUGGUUGUAUCACGGAGCACCUCUGGAUCUAUUUACUCAGAUGCUAAACUGAUGCGUCUAUGUGAUGAAGCUUGGUAAAACAAAUAUUUUUCAGGGACAAGUUAAAGCCGGAGCAGCUGUCCUUGAGAGUGAAUCGAAGCUCCUAAAAUGGGAAAAACAGGAGAGUCACAGCAGCGGAACAUCGGGAACAUGCAGUACGUCCCCGGAACAAGUGAGAGAACAGCUUGGAAAAUACUGAUAGGAGCAGGAUCGUCUGGAAUGCUGUAAUGUUAGAAGUCUGCGGAGAAGGGCAGGACAGUUGAACCUACCAGCUCCACCCAAAUCCUCACAUUUCUCAACGGCCAAAGGACUCUCUGAUGCAUCCCUGAGGAAACUGCCUACCAUACGGGGGCGGUCCGGCGAGGACCGAGGAGGGAGGGGAGUGUUCAGACAUGGCCUUUCUGGGGAAUCCGUUGACAUUCUCCGGUUUCCACUUGUGGGGAUCAGCUGCAAAGAUGCCCAGGGCAGAACGACCCUCUCCCCAAGGCCCCUGUUGGGAAAUACAAAAAACUGGAAGAUGAUAAUAACAAUACUAAAGUACUUGCUAUGUGCCAAGCACUGUACUUAAACUCUGGGGUAGAUACGAGUUAAUCGGAUCAGACACAGUCCCUGCCUAGCACGGGACUCACAACUUGAAGGAGAUGUUUAUGAAUCUAGAUGUGUACACCCGAAUGGAGAACUAAAAUAACCUUCGCAGAACUAAAACAAACUUUUACAAUAAACAACCCCCAAAACUA